ACCAGACUCCUACGGGAGGCAGCAGUGGGGAAUAUUGGGCAAUGGGCGAAAGCCUGACCCAGCAACGCCGCGUGAAGGAAGAAGGCCUUCGGGUUGUAAACUUCUUUUGACAGGGAAGAGCAGAAGACGGUACCUGUCGAAUAAGCCACGGCUAACUACGUGCCAGCAGCCGCGGUAAUACGUAGGUGGCAAGCGUUGUCCGGAUUUACUGGGUGUAAAGGGCGUGUAGCCGGGCUGACAAGUCAGAUGUGAAAUCCGGGGGCUCAACCCCCGAACUGCAUUUGAAACUGUUGGUCUUGAGUAUCGGAGAGGCAGGCGGAAUUCCUAGUGUAGCGGUGAAAUGCGUAGAUAUUAGGAGGAACACCAGUGGCGAAGGCGGCCUGCUGGACGACAACUGACGGUGAGGCGCGAAAGCGUGGGGAGCAAACAGGAUUAGAUACCCCCGUA
Molecule: ribosomal RNA, 447 nt
Filed under: uncultured bacterium
Lineage: Bacteria
Description: bacterial SSU rRNA
Rfam family: Bacterial small subunit ribosomal RNA
Source: RNAcentral